AGAUGCUCGUCGAGCGGUAGCACAGAGAGCUUGCUCUCGGGAUGACUAGCGGCGGACGGGUGAGUAAUGUCUGGGAAACUGCCUGAUGGAGGGGGAUAACUACUGGAAACGGUAGCUAAUACCGCAUAAUGUCGCAAGACCAAAGUGGGGGACCUUCGGGCCUCAUGCCAUCAGAUGUGCCCAGAUGGGAUUAGCUAGUAGGUGGGGUAAUGGCUCACCUAGGCGACGAUCCCUAGCUGGUCUGAGAGGAUGACCAGCCACACUGGAACUGAGACACGGUCCAGACUCCUACGGGAGGCAGCAGUGGGGAAUAUUGCACAAUGGGCGCAAGCCUGAUGCAGCCAUGCCGCGUGUGUGAAGAAGGCCUUCGGGUUGUAAAGCACUUUCAGCGGGGAGGAAGGCGUUAAGGUUAAUAACCUUGUCGAUUGACGUUACCCGCAGAAGAAGCACCGGCUAACUCCGUGCCAGCAGCCGCGGUAAUACGGAGGGUGCAAGCGUUAAUCGGAAUUACUGGGCGUAAAGCGCACGCAGGCGGUCUGUCAAGUCGGAUGUGAAAUCCCCGGGCUCAACCUGGGAACUGCAUUCGAAACUGGCAGGCUAGAGUCUUGUAGAGGGGGGUAGAAUUCCAGGUGUAGCGGUGAAAUGCGUAGAGAUCUGGAGGAAUACCGGUGGCGAAGGCGGCCCCCCUGGACAAAGACUGACGCUCAGGUGCGAAAGCGUGGGGAGCAAACAGGAUUAGAUACCCUGGUAGUCCACGCCGUAAACGAUGUCGAUUUGGAGGUUGUGCCCUUGAGGCGUGGCUUCCGGAGCUAACGCGUUAAAUCGACCGCCUGGGGAGUACGGCCGCAAGGUUAAAACUCAAAUGAAUUGACGGGGGCCCGCACAAGCGGUGGAGCAUGUGGUUUAAUUCGAUGCAACGCGAAGAACCUUACCUGGUCUUGACAUCCACAGAACUUUCCAGAGAUGGAUUGGUGCCUUCGGGAACUGUGAGACAGGUGCUGCAUGGCUGUCGUCAGCUCGUGUUGUGAAAUGUUGGGUUAAGUCCCGCAACGAGCGCAACCCUUAUCCUUUGUUGCCAGCGGUUAGGCCGGGAACUCAAAGGAGACUGCCAGUGAUAAACUGGAGGAAGGUGGGGAUGACGUCAAGUCAUCAUGGCCCUUACGACCAGGGCUACACACGUGCUACAAUGGCAUAUACAAAGAGAAGCGACCUCGCGAGAGCAAGCGGACCUCAUAAAGUAUGUCGUAGUCCGGAUUGGAGUCUGCAACUCGACUCCAUGAAGUCGGAAUCGCUAGUAAUCGUAGAUCAGAAUGCUACGGUGAAUACGUUCCCGGGCCUUGUACACACCGCCCGUCACACCAUGGGAGUGGGUUGCAAAAGAAGUAGGUAGCUUAACAUUUGGUAACAAG
RNAcentral lists this ribosomal RNA (1409 nucleotides) under Klebsiella sp. JD. RNAcentral describes it as "bacterial SSU rRNA". It matches the Rfam family "Bacterial small subunit ribosomal RNA". Lineage: Bacteria; Pseudomonadati; Pseudomonadota; Gammaproteobacteria; Enterobacterales; Enterobacteriaceae. The record is from RNAcentral.